RNAcentral lists this long non-coding RNA (1234 nucleotides) under Apteryx rowi (Okarito brown kiwi). RNAcentral's name for it is "lncRNA (ENSARWG00000005727.1)". The record is from RNAcentral. Lineage: Eukaryota; Metazoa; Chordata; Aves; Apterygiformes; Apterygidae.
CGCCGCUCCCGGGCUCGGCCGCGCCGCUGCUCGCGGCGCCCAGGUGCGGCGCGCUCCGUACGGACCCCGCUGCCGCGGCCUGAGCGACCAGCAGAGCAGGGGGAGAAAUAACGUUAAGUUUCGCAAACUGCACCGGGGCAUCGGCAGAGCGGCUGGCGCCCGGGUGUUGCAUUUAUUAAGGAAGCAGCAGCAGCACGUUGUCAGCCCGCUGAGGCUGGGGCCGAUCGCUCGCCGCAUACUAGCCUGGAUGCAAUCUCCCUGUAAGGAGUGUGAAAUGUACAGCUGCAAAACUACAGUUUUAAGCAAAAAAAAAGCUCUUCCUCAUCUGAACCAUCAUUCAAAACACAAGAUGAAAGUAGCUGAAGAAAAGUUGUUUAUGAUAUCAUCUGCAGGACUCCUAGAAAAUUCUUUGGAAACUUGGGCAUGUCUGUCUCAGGCUGCCCCUAAAAGAAAUGAAGUAUUAAUCUGGCAAGAUGAAAUCAAGAUGCACAAAGAGAAGAUAUUAGAGACUAUUCUGCAAGGUGUUCAGGACAACCGCCUGCAGUUUCAGAGAAGAAGCACAUAACAUGACAUGAAGAAAAUGAAAACAUAUUUAAAUAGAAUGUCUCCAGAUUCACUGAUAACAUGCAAACUGGAGUCUGCUUGCCGUUGUCUGUUUGAGAUAUGACAUCACAGCUAACAAGGGAGACUAAGAAGUAAUGUGACUCCAGACAAGUAUUUUGGGUAGAUCACUUGUGUCAGCUGAGAAGUUGAAAAAUGAUUUUUCACUUGGAACAGAGAUUUGUUACUGCUCCUUUGUAGUUAAGGCAUGCUUUAGGAAGCACUGAGUAAAAAAUUAGUGGGUUGUUUGCAUUUUGGAAAAUGUUCAUACUUUCAGAAGGCAAGGGAAUCAAAACCAGCACAUUCCUGGAGGGUACAUUUAGUUAGGACAUGCUGGUAUAGGCUAAACUUUUGGAAAGCUUUGCAGUCCAUCAGCAUUGCGUUCUAGUUUUGGUGGAGUGUAACACACUGCUCUUUGUAACUGUGCAGCUUCCACAUUCUUUCAGACUUAAUUAUUUGCAUGUUGCAGUUGCAUCCUUCUCAGUAAGCUUACAUUCAGCAGCGUGUCAGAAAAAAAGAUUUGCAUAUUUGGACUUCAUUGAAUAACAUACCUGUUUGAGGAGUCUCAGUGCCUUCAGAACCAUGUAUUGGUUACUAUCCAGCAUAAUCUAAAUAAAACAAGUCCCACAACACA